GAGAUAUUAGUAAAAUUCAUUACAACCCCUUGUCAAGGGGACAUCACUAGUUAAAAUCUUGUAUAUCUCUA
RNAcentral lists this transfer RNA (71 nucleotides) under Ambystoma texanum (smallmouth salamander). RNAcentral describes it as "tRNA-Asp". It matches the Rfam family "tRNA". From Rfam's summary of the family: Transfer RNA (tRNA) molecules are approximately 80 nucleotides in length. Their secondary structure includes four short double-helical elements and three loops (D, anti-codon, and T loops). Lineage: Eukaryota; Metazoa; Chordata; Amphibia; Caudata; Ambystomatidae. The record is from RNAcentral.